This 357-nucleotide ribosomal RNA is filed under the name uncultured Thiobacillus sp. RNAcentral's name for it is "bacterial SSU rRNA". It matches the Rfam family "Bacterial small subunit ribosomal RNA", at positions 1019 to 1382 of the family's 1533-position model. Lineage: Bacteria; Pseudomonadati; Pseudomonadota; Betaproteobacteria; Nitrosomonadales; Thiobacillaceae. The record is from RNAcentral.
AAAGGGAAUCGGAACACAGGUGCUGCAUGGCUGUCGUCAGCUCGUGUCGUGAGAUGUUGGGUUAAGUCCCGCAACGAGCGCAACCCUUAUCAUUAGUUGCUACGCAAGGGCACUCUAAUGAGACUGCCGGUGACAAACCGGAGGAAGGUGGGGAUGACGUCAAGUCCUCAUGGCCCUUAUGGGUAGGGCUUCACACGUCAUACAAUGGUCGGUACAGAGGGUUGCCAAGCCGCGAGGCGGAGCCAAUCCCGCAAAGCCGAUCGUAGUCCGGAUUGUUCUCUGCAACUCGAGAGCAUGAAGUCGGAAUCGCUAGUAAUCGCAGGUCAGCAUACUGCGGUGAAUACGUUCCCGGGUCUU